RNAcentral lists this long non-coding RNA (1801 nucleotides) under Daphnia pulicaria. RNAcentral's name for it is "uncharacterized LOC124337581". Lineage: Eukaryota; Metazoa; Arthropoda; Branchiopoda; Diplostraca; Daphniidae. The record is from RNAcentral.
GUGAGGGUGAUCAAAAAAUCGUAUAAAAGGAGAGAGAAAAGGCAAAGGUAAAUCAGUCGAGGGAGCAUCUCCGACACGCCAACAACUGCAGCGCUCUGUCUGUCAGUUCGCAUCCAUGGCAAACUAUGGCGUAGUGCUGCUGUUGUGUGUUGAAUCAUUGAUGGCUGGGUCGACCACUGGUGUACCGAUGUCUUCUUGGUAUGGCGGAUACCAUACCGCAACGCCGCCGCCUUACUACCCAAAAGCAACUUACGCAACGACCAGUUACUGCACCGAGGUCUUCAAGUACUACACCACUAAAGCACUGGACUUGAAUAGCACAACUUAAGCUGCCCCGAGCCACUACACUGACGGCCUGAAGUAUUACUGUGCCUCGAGUUACUACACCACCAAGGCGACGGAGGAUGACUACGCAUGCUGCCCCAUCCUCCGAGGCUCAUACACCGAGGCUCCUAACUGCUACACCGAGGCUCCCGCUGAUUACUACACCGAAUCGGCAAAGUACUACUCUGCCCCGAUCUACACAACCAUAACUGAGGCGGCCAAGUAUUGAGCUGCCCGGACUUACUGCACAGAAGUUGCUCUUUCGUACUACGCUGAACAGGAAUACUACACUGAUGCUCCAGUUCACUAAACCACGGCCUACGCUACACCGCAGCCCCCAAGUACUACACCGAAGAAGCCGCCUACAACAACGUAUGCUGCUUAGUUUACUACACCGAGGCUCCCAAGUACUACAUCACUAAGACACCGGAAUUCUACACGUCUAUGUAUGCUACCCCUGCCUACUACACCGAGACCCUGCAUUACUACAACACUGAAGCGCUCAAGUACUACACUACAACCUGCGCUUCCCCGAGCUACUACACCUACGUCCCGAAGUAUUACUGUGCGUAAAAGGAGUCUUCAAAAAAGAAAGAAGUGCCCGAACUGCAGUGCCUUAUCUGUCACCAACUGCUUUCCUCAUCGUGUAACCGAUUCGCAAUUAUGGUCAACUAUGGCGUCGUGCUCCUGUUGGGUGUUGUAGCUAUCGUUGAUGGCUGGGUCGACUGCUGGUGUAGCGAUGUCUCCUUGGUACGGCGGAAACCAAACCGCAACGCUGCCGCCUUCCUACUCAACUUACGCAAUGACCAGUUCCUGCACCGAUGUCUUCAAGUACUACACCACCAAACCACGGGAGUUUUAUACCACAACUUACGCUGCCCAGAGACACUACCCUGAUGCCCUGAAGUAUUACUCUGCCCUGAGUUACUACACCAUCUAGGCGACGGAUGACACCACAUGACUACCUGCUACACCGAGGCUCCCACUGAUGUCUCCACCAAGACGGUCGAAUACUACACUGAAGCGACAAAGUACUACUCUGCCCCGAUCUACACAACCACAACUGAGGUGGCCAAGUAUUACGCAGUCCCGACUUGCUACACCAAAGCUGCUCUUUCGUGCUGCGUCGAACAGAGAUACUACACUGAUGCUCCAGUCUACUACACCACGACCUACGCUACACCUAGCUACACCUAGCUACACCUAGCUACAACACCGCAGACCUCAAGUACUACACCGAAGAAGGCGUCUAUACACAAUUACACAACUAUGUACGCUGCCUAGCUUACACUUACAUCGAGAAAUUUAAGUAUUACUCUGCCCCGAACUACUACCAAACUGAGGUUCAUAUGUAUUACAUCAGCAGUUCUCCCCACCUUGUCACCACUAUUUACGCUGCUCCGAGCUGUAUACCGAAGUUCUGAAAUAUUUUUUGGAUGUGUUGAAAGAUUGUUGAAAUACAAGAUUGAUUGAUAAA